UCGCUUCAGGAAUGUGUAUACUAAAAUUGGAGCAAUACAGACAUUAGCAUGGCCCUUGUGCAAAGUGACACAUAAGUUUGUGAAAUGUUCCAUAAUUUU
Molecule: small nuclear RNA, 99 nt
Organism: Oryctolagus cuniculus (rabbit)
Lineage: Eukaryota; Metazoa; Chordata; Mammalia; Lagomorpha; Leporidae
Source: Ensembl